AGUGAACGCUGGCGGUAGGCCUAACACAUGCAAGUCGAACGGCAGCACAGUAAGAGCUUGCUCUUACGGGUGGCGAGUGGCGGACGGGUGAGGAAUACAUCGGAAUCUACUUUUUCGUGGGGGAUAACGUAGGGAAACUUACGCUAAUACCGCAUACGACCUACGGGUGAAAGCAGGGGAUCUUCGGACCUUGCGCGAUUGAAUGAGCCGAUGUCGGAUUAGCUAGUUGGCGGGGUAAAGGCCCACCAAGGCGACGAUCCGUAGCUGGUCUGAGAGGAUGAUCAGCCACACUGGAACUGAGACACGGUCCAGACUCCUACGGGAGGCAGCAGUGGAGAAUAUUGGACAAUGGGCGCAAGCCUGAUCCAGCCAUACCGCGUUGGUGAAGAAGGCCUUCGGGUUGUAAAGCCCUUUUGUUGGGAAAGAAAAGCAGCAGGUUAAUACCCCGCUGUUCUGACGGUACCCAAAGAAUAAGCACCGGCUAACUUCGUG
This 492-nucleotide ribosomal RNA is filed under the name uncultured bacterium. RNAcentral describes it as "partial 16S ribosomal RNA". It matches the Rfam family "Bacterial small subunit ribosomal RNA", at positions 29 to 507 of the family's 1533-position model. The record is from RNAcentral.